UAACGCGUGGGCAACCUGCCCUCCAGUUGGGGACAACAUUCCGAAAGGGAUGCUAAUACCGAAUGUGCUCCCUCCUCCGCAUGGAGGAGGGAGGAAAGAUGGCCUCUGCUUGCAAGCUAUCGCUGGAAGAUGGGCCCGCGUCUGAUUAGCUAGUUGGUGGGGUAACGGCUCACCAAGGCGAUGAUCAGUAGCCGGUCUGAGAGGAUGAACGGCCACAUUGGGACUGAGACACGGCCCAAACUCCUACGGGAGGCAGCAGUGGGGAAUCUUCCGCAAUGGACGAAAGUCUGACGGAGCAACGCCGCGUGAGUGAUGAAGGUCUUCGGAUUGUAAAACUCUGUUGUUAGGGACGAAAGCACCGUGUUCGAACAGGUCAUGGUGUUGACGGUACCUAACGAGGAAGCCACGGCUAACUACGUGCCAGCAGCCGCGGUAAUACGUAGGUGGCAAGCGUUGUCCGGAAUUAUUGGGCGUAAAGAGCAUGUAGGCGGGCUUUUAAGUCUGACGUGAAAAUGCGGGGCUUAACCCCGUAUGGCGUUGGAUACUGGAAGUCUUGAGUGCAGGAGAGGAAAGGGGAAUUCCCAGUGUAGCGGUGAAAUGCGUAGAUAUUGGGAGGAACACCAGUGGCGAAGGCGCCUUUCUGGACUGUGUCUGACGCUGAGAUGCGAAAGCCAGGGUAGCAAACGGGAUUAGAUACCCCGGUAGUCCUGGCCGUAAACGAUGGAUACUAGGU
This 733-nucleotide ribosomal RNA is filed under the name uncultured bacterium. RNAcentral's name for it is "bacterial SSU rRNA". It matches the Rfam family "Bacterial small subunit ribosomal RNA", at positions 111 to 821 of the family's 1533-position model. The record is from RNAcentral.